Molecule: ribosomal RNA, 399 nt
Filed under: Tiarosporella graminis
Lineage: Eukaryota; Fungi; Ascomycota; Dothideomycetes; Botryosphaeriales; Botryosphaeriaceae
Description: partial small subunit ribosomal RNA
Rfam family: Eukaryotic small subunit ribosomal RNA
Source: RNAcentral
GCUUGUCUCAAAGAUUAAGCCAUGCAUGUCUAAGUAUAAACGACUUUAUACUGUGAAACUGCGAAUGGCUCAUUAUAUCAGUUAUAGUUUAUUUGAUGGUCCUUGCUACUUGGAUAACCGUAGUAAUUCUAGAGCUAAUACAUGCAUCAAGCCCCGACUUCUGGAAGGGGUGUAUUUAUUAGAUGGAAACCAAUGCCCUCCGGGGCUCCUUGGUGAUUCAUAAUAACUUAACGAAUCGCAUGGCCUUGCGCCGGCGAUGGUUCAUUCAAAUUUCUGCCCUAUCAACUUUCGAUGGUAAGAUAGUGGCUUACCAUGGUCUCAACGGGUAACGGGGAAUUAGGGUUCUAUUCCGGAGAGGGAGCCUGAGAAACGGCUACCACAUCCAAGGAAGGCAGCAGG